UCAGACACAAAGGUGGAAGAACAGGCC
Molecule: non-coding RNA, 27 nt
Filed under: Rattus norvegicus (Norway rat)
Lineage: Eukaryota; Metazoa; Chordata; Mammalia; Rodentia; Muridae
Source: RNAcentral